GCGUUCCGACUCCGGUCUGGUGUAUGGGUUGCACUCGGUCUCUCUGGCUAUUUUGUGUGUUCCGAUCUGACAGCCCACAUGCCUCUGCUGUACGCCUCGGCCACAGGACACAGAGCACUAAGAAGACAGAGAACCGCCAGUUUGGAUAAUAUCUCAAGGCUUAAUAGGGAAGGAAGGUGGCAUUGAAAAAAAAAAUGUCCACAGCAUUACAGCAGCAAUCCUGUGUGGCAUUUUUGGCUCACUCAAGAGUGUGGGUAAAUCCUGAGAAUUGGAGCCAAAAAUAAAGCUCAUGAACCUGAAAUUACCAUGAAAUUCUGAUUUUAAGAAGUCCUACUAUGAAAUAGUGAUAUAUUUCUUCAACAAAAUGCCUGUGAUUCACUGACUGGGAUAAAGGUGCAUUUCCAAAAUACAACUAUGUUCAAUUUCUUAAUUAAAUGAUUUAAGAAUAAAACUCUUGAACCAUUUUCCAGAGGAUAAGCUCUCGUUUUCCCAGUCCACUGGGAAGAGGUGAAAAAGGCACGUUAGAAACUGAAAGGUAAGCUAGCAGG
RNAcentral lists this long non-coding RNA (548 nucleotides) under Homo sapiens (human). RNAcentral's name for it is "long non-coding RNA NONHSAT090250". Lineage: Eukaryota; Metazoa; Chordata; Mammalia; Primates; Hominidae. The record is from RNAcentral.